CAGACGUUCACUUUUGGUCACUGUCAAGGACAACCGGGCUGAAUCCACAUCUUGCACAAGCAGGGGCAAAGCCUGUGGGACAGCAGGAACACUGGUGAGUUUGGUGGCCCCAUGACAGAACCAGAAGCAGCAGUGAGACACUGGAGCUGGAGGUCAGCUGUUCAUACUCAGAAACUCUGGAAGGGUAAUCUGCUUCAAAGGCUUCUGCUACCCGCUACUUCCUGGAAAGGACACUGCCAGUUUCCCUCCCCUCCCCACCACAGUUAACUUCAGGAAAUCCUGGAUUGUGAACCCCAAC
Molecule: long non-coding RNA, 298 nt
Filed under: Columba livia (rock pigeon)
Lineage: Eukaryota; Metazoa; Chordata; Aves; Columbiformes; Columbidae
Description: partial uncharacterized LOC102098775
Source: RNAcentral